AAGACUAUAGACCUGCGGAGUACCUGCGGAAGGAUCAUUAAUUAAGAUGAUGCCCUUCUUAGGGAACUCCUCCCGGCAUUGCCGGGUGCACUCACAUCUCCUUGUGAAUUGUCCUAUUGCUUUGGUAGCAUCUCACAAGUUGAGUUGUUAGCCUACCUUUAGCUUUCAAUGAAACUUCUAUGAUAUUCAUAAAAUGUCUGAAAAGAAAGCAAAUUCUUACAAAACUUUCAGCAACGGAUC
RNAcentral lists this unclassified non-coding RNA (240 nucleotides) under soil metagenome. RNAcentral's name for it is "partial contains 5.8S ribosomal RNA, internal transcribed spacer 2, and large subunit ribosomal RNA". The record is from RNAcentral.